AGUUUUAUAGUCAAAAUAAUGAUGUUAAAUUGCAAAUUUAAAGUUGAAUUUUAUUCUAAAACUU
Molecule: transfer RNA, 64 nt
Filed under: Digitonthophagus gazella
Lineage: Eukaryota; Metazoa; Arthropoda; Insecta; Coleoptera; Scarabaeidae
Description: tRNA-Cys
Source: RNAcentral